AACGAACGCUGGCGACAUGCCUAACACAUGCAAGUCGAACGAGAUCUUCGGGUCUAGUGGCGCACGGGUGCGUAACGCGUGGGAAUCUGCCCUUUGGUUCGGAAUAACAGUUGGAAACGACUGCUUAUACCGGAUGAUGACGAAAGUCCAAAGAUUUAUCGCCAGAGGAUGAGCCCGCGUAGGAUUAGCUAGUUGGUGUGGUAAAGGCGCACCAAGGCGACGAUCCUUAGCUGGUCUGAGAGGAUGAUGAGACACACUGGGACUGAGACACGGCCAAGACUCCUACGGGAGGCAGCAGUGGGGAAUAGUGGACAAUGGGCGAAAGCCUGAUCCAGCAAUGCCGCGUGAGUGAUGAAGGCCUUAGGGUUGUAAGCUCUUUUACCCGGGAUGAUAAUGACAGUACCGGGAGAAUAAGCUCCGGCUAACUCCGUGCCAGCCGCCGCCGUAA
RNAcentral lists this ribosomal RNA (448 nucleotides) under uncultured bacterium. RNAcentral describes it as "partial 16S ribosomal RNA". It matches the Rfam family "Bacterial small subunit ribosomal RNA", at positions 29 to 523 of the family's 1533-position model. The record is from RNAcentral.